GAUGAACUGCAAAUACCAUCAUCCAGGAGACCGGCUGUCUAAGAAACAGUAUGUAUGUAAGACUCGUAUAAAUUUUCAGAAAAAGCUCGAUUCCGCUGCCUUUUAGAUGAUGUUGAUGAUGAUUUUCUGCGAGUGUUGUUUCAAUUGCAGUGAAGUCAUCCGCAGCGACCACUUGAGCAAAGCAGGGACACGCUGGUUACCGCACGAAUGCUACCAACGGAAAGGUAGGUACCUCUUGUGCAGUGAUGUUGCUGAUAGGAGUUGCUAUUGCUUUGGAAUUCUCCUGAAACAGCCUCCCCUUGACAUGGCCGACUUAACUUGGUGCCUGUUUGUUUUGUUUUGUUUUGCAGCAUUGUCUUGAUGUGUGAGCAGGUGUUGUUAGAGCAGGCUGGCUGGCUCAAGUGUGAGCGUGACUGACGACUGAAGAGAGAGGAGUAGGAGGAUUCUGAUGAAUGAACUAAAGCUUGGAGCUAAUAUAAUCGUCAUCGUUUUUCUGGGGUUGUAUGAGCGAGUAGUUGCUAGUUAUGUCUGUUUUGAGCGCGUUUGAGCUGUGUUGGUGAAAGGUACGGCCACGACGACGCCGGCGGCCGGGAGGCGCUCGACUCCGUCUUCGCCCACAUUGUCGGCGCCGAGGCCGCCAUCGUGCGCCCCCAG
This 654-nucleotide long non-coding RNA is filed under the name Triticum aestivum (bread wheat). Its description in RNAcentral is "long non-coding RNA (TAES_LNC018686)". Lineage: Eukaryota; Viridiplantae; Streptophyta; Magnoliopsida; Poales; Poaceae. The record is from RNAcentral.